GAAUUUUCCGCAAUGGGCGAAAGCCUGACGGAGCAACGCCGCGUGAGGGAGGAAUGUCUGUGGAUUGUAAACCUCUUUUCUCAGGGAAGAAGAUCUGACGGUACCUGAGGAAUAAGCAUCGGCUAACUCCGUCCCAGCCGCCGCGGUAAGACGGAGGAGGCAAGCGUUAUCCGGAAUUAUUGGGCGUAAAGCGUCCGCAGGCGGCUUUUUAAGUCUGUUGUCAAAGCCCACAGCUCAACUGUGGAUCGGCAAUGGAAACUGGGAGGCUUGAGUGUGGUAGGGGUAGAGGGAGUUCCCGGUGUAGCGGUGAAAUGCGUAGAUAUCGGGAAGAACACCAGUGGCGAAGGCGCUCUACUGGGCCACAACUGACGCUGAGGGACGAAAGCUAGGGGAGCGAAAGGG
Molecule: ribosomal RNA, 402 nt
Filed under: uncultured bacterium
Lineage: Bacteria
Description: bacterial SSU rRNA
Rfam family: Bacterial small subunit ribosomal RNA
Source: RNAcentral